UAUGAGAUGCCUGAUGAAGAGGAUAAUUUUGAUAGGAUUAAAAAUGUGCAAAAGCACUCUUAUAA
Molecule: transfer RNA, 65 nt
Filed under: Philopona vibex
Lineage: Eukaryota; Metazoa; Arthropoda; Insecta; Coleoptera; Chrysomelidae
Description: tRNA-Ile
Source: RNAcentral